GUUGGUGUUGAUCAGGAAGACACCCUCCAUCAGCUUUAUAGCGGGAAGACUGGACAAUCGCAACAUAAACAAGUGCUGACGCCAUAUUAUGUACAUGGGAAUAAGAGCAAAAAUGUGAUGGAAGGAAGUGUUUAGGACAGGCUGCUGAAGCAAACGUCUGAUGCUAUUGGCAUCUGCAUGUGCAACCGAGUGGGGAAAAAAGUAAGACAUGGCAACGUGAACAAGAGGAACAAACAAGGUACAGAUUGACGUGUGUGUACACACUCGGCAGCAGCGUAUCCCACAGCCUCAAGAGCUCAUACUAGACGAGGAGGACUGGAAUCAUCAGUAUUAAUAUAGCAGAGGGGCACGAUCAUUGCUGACACAUUGAGGACUGAUUCCUUUGAAGGCGGGAUAUGGGAAGACAAGGAUUUCACUGUACAGUGUCCAAAAGAAGUUUCUUCUUCACUCCAUUCACAGCAGAAGACAACGGAGUUCUAGAGCAAGAGCAACAUUAUCAAGAUGCUUAGUUGCAUAAGACGCCACGCUAGCACGUCUUCUCAGAAACUGAAGAUGCUCAACUAGCUGAUGUUUUUAGGAUAUUUUUUAACAGUCAGUUGUACAAAAUGGUUUGAGGCUGAAAUACAGUACAUGACAUUGUCCUCCAUUUAAAUCUUGGUUAUUAUUUGAAUGAUUUUCAGCAAUCAAUAAAAUGAUUGAAAAGCUAGCGGAACUCUCUGUGGGUUAUAUUAUCAAGUCAAGUUACGUUCAUGUACCGUAUUAAGGAGUUGAUACUGAAAAACACACAAUGCUUUUAAAAUCUCAGACAUAACUAUGAAAGGCUCAAUGACAUGCCACUAUUUGACAGUUUAAUAUCACCACAGUAUGCAAA
Molecule: long non-coding RNA, 871 nt
Organism: Tachysurus fulvidraco (yellow catfish)
Lineage: Eukaryota; Metazoa; Chordata; Actinopteri; Siluriformes; Bagridae
Exons: 7
Source: RefSeq, a predicted model, not a curated record